This 120-nucleotide ribosomal RNA is filed under the name uncultured bacterium. RNAcentral's name for it is "partial 16S ribosomal RNA". It matches the Rfam family "Bacterial small subunit ribosomal RNA", at positions 28 to 148 of the family's 1533-position model. The record is from RNAcentral.
GACGAACGCUGGCGGCGUGCUUAACACAUGCAAGUCGAACGGUGUCACCCCCUUGGGGGUGGCGCAGUGGCGAACGGGUGAGUAACACGUGGGCAAUCUGCCCUGCACUUCGGGACAAGC